Molecule: long non-coding RNA, 1618 nt
Organism: Anser brachyrhynchus (Pink-footed goose)
Lineage: Eukaryota; Metazoa; Chordata; Aves; Anseriformes; Anatidae
Source: Ensembl
CAAACCCACCUGCGAUGGUCCUGGCUGUGUGAUCCAAUCUCCUGGGCCACGGAUGGCUACAUCCAGGCUGGAGGUCAAGUAAACCUUUGGGAAAAGGGCGAUGAGUCCUCACUGAUGGGCUGCAUGUGCCUGGGAAAGCUGCAUCUUUCUAGCCUCUUCAGAGGGCAUGCAAAAUUGCCUCUGCUCUCACAAGCAUCCUCCCCAUGCUGCUGCUUGGGCUCUCCUUCAGCCCGGACUGGUGGAGCUUCUUAAGCAUUGCUGGGGCUGCAGGGGGACCUGGGGGGCUGGGUCUGUGGUCCCUCGUGGGGGUCUUAGGAUGGAAGUGAAGCAGCAGGUGGCUUUUCUCGCUCAGGGCAUGAUGCCCCAUGAAGAGCAGAGGAAGGUGUGAACCAGCAGUUUGGCCUCAUGGAAACGGAAACCGGAGAGGGGAGAUUUAUCCACGGGCAUUAUGUGUGGUCUCUACAGAAAGCUGGUAAUUCAGAGAGGUCAUGCAUUUAGCAGGAGGGAUGUUUGGCUGGUGGCUGGAGAAUAUUCUGUAUAUUCUGUUUUUUGUAUACCUGUUAGCACAGCACAGGAACUGGGCCUGGCCAGCCCUCCUGCACCCCUGGUGUUGGACCCCAGAAGAGCAUCACGUACUCCCAGAUGUUAUGCAAGGAACAAGGUGGAAAGCUUUGGUCUUGUUCAGUUAGUUCUUCAGCUGUUUUUCUGCCACAGGGCACCAGCAUUAGCUCCUCCAUCAGACCCUGAGAAAGCAGGAGAGGGCCUGCCAAAGUGCCUAUGUCAGGAGGAUGCUCCACAAGGUCCCUUUUUGCUGGCUAUCCUUCCCACGUGGCUGUUCCCAGCUUCUCUCUGGAGUGAGAACAAAAAGAAAGAUCUCAUGGAGAGGACUGUUUAAUAGGAGGUGUCUGAAAUUCAGCUUUGGCCAAGAAUCAUCUCCAACAGCAUUGCUUUUCUACUGACCAGCUCCCAUUGAAGAUCACGCACCACUGACGAUUGCACACCACUGAUGAUCAUGCAUCUUGAGCAACAAAAGGAAACACUUCGUUCUCCAACCAGGUAUCUUGCAAGCAGAUGUCAGGUGUCUCACACACAGAUCAAGGACUUGGGAUGCAGUUUUAUUCCCAUGUAAAAACACAUUCCCUUGAGCUGCCAAAUUUGCUCUGAAGGAUCCAGAUGAAUUCCUGGUUCCCUGGGUGCACUGCAUACUAACCUGAGAAGACAUUCCAGCUCCUGCCACUCUCUGCCCAUGUCUGUUCCCCCCUGCAGAUCCCUGUAACUAACCCCAUCAACACCAGCAGCACUGGGUCACCUCUGCUGUGUGCCAGUUUGGAUGCCCACUGUCUUGUCUUGUCUUAUUGUGAAUGACUUAUUUUGGAUGUGCCCCACUGUGAGAUUUCCACUCCAGACAUGUUACUGGCUCUGAACCUUGCUGGAUAGGCUCUUUGGUCUUAGGUUACUCAUAAAACAUCUUUCUUAUAAAGUUUCUGUUUGAAAAUAUCUUUCUGUUCUGUUUCAUCUGCAUGGGAAGUACAGCAUUUAAAUUGCUGGGAUGUAGAUUCAUUUAACCUCUGUGGCCUAAAUUAGCCAAAAGUAAUUAAACACAGCAGGUUUUCAGAAA